AACGAACGCUGGCGGCAUGCCUAACACAUGCAAGUCGAACGAGACCUUCGGGUCUAGUGGCGCACGGGUGCGUAACGCGUGGGAACCUGCCCUUAGGUUCGGAAUAACUCCCCGAAAGGGGUGCUAAUACCGGAUAAUGUCUUCGGACCAAAGAUUUAUCGCCUUUGGAUGGGCCCGCGUUGGAUUAGCUAGUUGGUAGGGUAAAAGCCUACCAAGGCGACGAUCCAUAGCUGGUCUGAGAGGAUGAUCAGCCACACUGGGACUGAGACACGGCCCAGACUCCUCCGGGAGGAGGAGGGGGGAAAUAUGGAAGAAGGGGGAAAGGCUUAACCCAGCAAUGCCGGGGGAGGAAGAAGGCCUUUGGGGUGGAAAACUUUUUUGCCCCGGAAUGAAAAGGACAGUACGGGAAAAAAAACCCCCGGCUACCCCGGUC
Molecule: ribosomal RNA, 433 nt
Filed under: uncultured bacterium
Lineage: Bacteria
Description: partial 16S ribosomal RNA
Rfam family: Bacterial small subunit ribosomal RNA
Source: RNAcentral